AUGACAUCAAGACCUGAGCCGAGAUCAAGAGUCAGGCGUUUAACCGACUGAACCACCCAGCUUGGAAAGAAGCACACUUGGGCCGCCUUGAGAGCUGACCGAUGGAAGACAUCAUCUGGAGACAGAGGGACCAGAAAGGCAGGAAAUGGAGGAAUAGCUUCCUUUUCCUGACCUUCUUCAGGGAAGCAUGUGUGGCCACACCCUCUACCCAUUGAGCAUUUGAGGACAGAGUAAUAAUGCAGACUCUCUUGGCAAGCCUCUACUUGUACUUUCUGGAACUGUUCUUCCCAACCAUUCAGAUAGACAAAUCUGAAUACUGGCAAUUUCUCAGCUGAAGUGUGUAAGGACCUGGAGAUGAGGUCAUCCUGGAUUAUCGAGAUAUGCCCUACCUCUCAUAAGGGAGGUAGAGGGAGGUUUGAGACAGAUGCACAGACGAGAAGACACCCACGGGGAGAAGGCCAUGUGAAGACAGAGGCAAGAUUGGGGCAAUGUGGUCACAAGCUAAGGAAUACCAUGGACUGCUCCAGCAACCAGAAAGAAGCAAGGGAAGUCAUGGACCCGAUCCUAUCUGCAGAAGGAACCAACCCUAGCAAAUGCAUAUGGUAGAAAUUCAAUGAAUGCUGGCUCACUUCAUGAUCAGGACAGAACAAGAAGCUCUGGAAAAGAAGCAUUUGGAAUCAUUUUCAAGUGGAUGUCAAGCCCUUCUAUGGAGAGUCUAAAGAUUUUUCUAGAGCAGAAUAAACACUCAAACACAGAGAAAAACAAACCAGGGGUGCCAGUAGUCCUUCUCUGGGCUUUCUUUCCCAGGGAGACCAGGAUGGGCUUCAGAGGCAUGACCCCCAGCAAAAUACCUAUGUGUGCCCACCAGAGGGGCUAAAGGCUGAGUAUGCCAAGUGAUGGCAAGGAUGUGGAAUCAGCAGAACUCUCACACACUGCUAUGGGUACAGAAAAUGGAAAACAGUAUUUUUUUCUUCAAAUGGCAAACAUACACCUAACAUGUUACCUAGCCAUGCCACGCCUAGGCAUUUACCCAAGAGGAAUGAAAACAUAUGUCCACACAAAGACUUGCACUGAAUUUUCCUAGCAGCUUCAUUGUAACACCCCCCCCCAAUAGAAACAGAUCCAAAGCCCAUCAACAGGUGAAUAAACAAUGAAAUACUGAUCAUUAAUGAAAGGCAUCAGUAAAUGGUUUCUUUUAACAU
Long non-coding RNA from Canis lupus familiaris (dog), 1202 nucleotides. RefSeq lists it as uncharacterized. The record is from RefSeq and is a predicted model, not a curated record. The transcript has 5 exons. NCBI's taxonomy places the organism in Eukaryota, Metazoa, Chordata, Mammalia, Carnivora, Canidae.